UGAAUCUNAAACGACAGCCGCGUGUUUAUAGCCUCUUAAGCAUUGAGGCGGUUGGUUUANANAGAUCUCACACUGGCCGCUCGUUUUACAUGCCUAAUACAUGCAGUCGAGCGACAGAGAAGGAGCUUGCUCCUUGACGUAGCGGCGGACGGGUGAGUAACACGUGGGCAACCUACCUUAUAGUGGGAUAACUCCGGGAAACCGGGGCUAAUACCGAAUAAUCUAUUUUACUUCAUGGUAAAAUACUGAAAGACGGUUUCGGCUGUCGCUAUAAGAUGGGCCCGCGGCGCAUUAGCUAGUUGGUGAGGCAACGGCUCACCAAGGCGACGAUAGCGUAGCCGACCUGAGAGGGUGAUCGGCCACACUGGGACUGAGACACGGCCCAGACUCCUACGGGAGGCAAGCAGUAGGGAAUCUUCCACAAUGGGCGAAAGCCUGAUGGAGCAACGCCGCGUGAGUGAAGAAGGUUUUCGGAUCGUAAAACUCUGUUGUAAGGGAAGAACAAGUACAGUAGUAACUGGCUGUACCUUGACGGUACCUUAUUAGAAAGCCACGGCUAACUACGUGCCAGCANCCGCGGUAAUACGUAGUGGCAAGCGUUGUCCGGAAUUAUUCGGGGCGUAAAAGCGCAGCGCAGAGCGGGUCCUUUAAGUCUGAUGUUGAAAGCCCACGGGUUCAACCGUGGGAGGGUUCNUUGGCAAACUGGGGGGACUUAGAAGUUGGCGAACGAAGGCAAACGUGGGCAUUUCCACAAGUAGAGACGGGUGAACAAUGCGUAACACAUUUGGGGGAACCCCAGGGGGGACAGGNNAAUUCAGGGCUGGAACUGACGCUGAGGCNAAAAGCUGGGGGGAACNNGAUAACCCNGAUACCACCCCCGAACCAAAGCGACAUAUAGGGGCUCCCCAUAUGGAAUGAAAAACCACCGGAGANGAAAAUAAGAUAAGCGACGGUGUAACACCNCAUCA
Molecule: ribosomal RNA, 968 nt
Filed under: uncultured bacterium
Lineage: Bacteria
Description: bacterial SSU rRNA
Rfam family: Bacterial small subunit ribosomal RNA
Source: RNAcentral